RNAcentral lists this long non-coding RNA (764 nucleotides) under Helianthus annuus (common sunflower). Its description in RNAcentral is "hypothetical non coding rna". Lineage: Eukaryota; Viridiplantae; Streptophyta; Magnoliopsida; Asterales; Asteraceae. The record is from RNAcentral.
CCCAGAAUCAGGUUUCACCAAAAUCAAUUUCCAUCCCCAAUCGUUUGAUAAUCCCUUUCCUUCCCCUAGCCCUUCAUUGUUCCCCCAUCUCUCAUGUCCAUCUCUCUAGUACUACUACCAUUUCUCCACCGGUGAAUCAUUUUCUCUCUUCGGAUAAAUCACUUCACGGAUCGCUUUCCUCUUCUUCAUCGUCAAGAUCUUCAUUGUUUGUCUAGGGUUCACGGAUCUUCUCCAUCGCGUUCAACUUCAAAGCUUGCAAAAUUUUAAACCAAAUCAUCCAGGUUAGAACUACGUUUGGACAAUCGAUCUCAAAAUUUUUGUUGAUGUUGCAGUUAAGGGUAGAUAUUUUAAUCAGUUUAUUAGUGGCGAUUGGUUGUCUUUUUCUAUACCAACUGAUUCAAACAUCCAAAGUAUAAAAUACAUUGUACUUCCGGUUGAAGUCCCUGGUAUUGGUACUUUGGUCUCUAAUAACUAUUUACCUUAGCAUUUUCAAGAAGACAUAAUGAUGGGCAAGAAAUAUGUUUGGAUAAUUGAUCUUCAAAUUUUUUGUUGACAUUGCAGUUAAGGGUAGAUAUCAAUCUAUGAAGAGAAGCUUUUGAGUUAAGUUUUAUGAUAGUCAAUUCCUCACCCAAAAGAAGGUUUAGGCCUCUCGUGUAAACAUUUUAGAAUUUGGAAUAUGUUACUUGUUACACAAUGUUUUGCUAACAUUUGGAAUAUGUUACGGAUCGAACUUAUUAUUGAAGUUAUAAUAUUAUGAUUUCUAC